RNAcentral lists this ribosomal RNA (465 nucleotides) under Vreelandella stevensii. RNAcentral's name for it is "partial 16S ribosomal RNA". It matches the Rfam family "Bacterial small subunit ribosomal RNA", at positions 338 to 795 of the family's 1533-position model. The record is from RNAcentral. Lineage: Bacteria; Pseudomonadati; Pseudomonadota; Gammaproteobacteria; Oceanospirillales; Halomonadaceae.
CCUACGGGCGGUUGCAGUGGGGAAUAUUGGACAAUGGGGGCAACCCUGAUCCAGCCAUGCCGCGUGUGUGAAGAAGGCCCUCGGGUUGUAAAGCACUUUCAGUGAGGAAGAACGCCUGGUGGUUAAUACCCAUCAGGAAAGACAUCACUCACAGAAGAAGCACCGGCUAACUCCGUGCCAGCAGCCGCGGUAAUACGGAGGGUGCGAGCGUUAAUCGGAAUUACUGGGCGUAAAGCGCGCGUAGGUGGCUUGAUAAGCCGGUUGUGAAAGCCCCGGGCUCAACCUGGGAACGGCAUCCGGAACUGUCAAGCUAGAGUGCAGGAGAGGAAGGUAGAAUUCCCGGUGUAGCGGUGAAAUGCGUAGAGAUCGGGAGGAAUACCAGUGGCGAAGGCGGCCUUCUGGACUGACACUGACACUGAGGUGCGAAAGCGUGGGUAGCAAACAGGAUUAGAUACCCCAGUAGUC